UAAUUAGUUAUGUUGACUAGUAGAACUUUUGGUGUAUAGUUUUUAAAUAUUAUUUUAAAAUAUUUCAAGAGUCUAUAUCUGAAUUUCUUAAUAAGAAAAUUAAAAUUGUUGACCGGAACCUCUUCAUAUAAAUUGAGGCAGAAAGAAUUUCAAAUAUGAGCUCACACUUGUUAAUAACAUAAGAUAUGAGAUAUAAAUAAAUUAAAUAUGAAUUCCACACACACAAACACAUUCCAUAUUGCACGAAAUAGACAACAAUGUGCUUAAAAUCUUACAUGAGCCAACUUAGAAAUUCAUGAAGAAGUUACAUGAAAACAUUGUGAAGAAUACCAUAAACAAAGCCUAAACUCCUAUAAAUACCUCAACAUAUAUAUGAACUCCUCGAAGCAUCAAAAGUUAAAGCAACAAAGCAAUAAUACACUACACUUACUCAUAUUCAUAAUUAAUUUUAUUUUAAGAGAAGAGAAGAGAUAUGGAGAAUAAUGGAAAGAGCAAAGUAGGCACAUCAAAGAAUAUUGGAAGUGUGUUUCCAAAGAAAGAUAAGAAGUCAGUGAAGAAAAUGGCUGUUGAAAAGAUAGGCAAAGUUGUAGUGUCCACUUUCAAGAAUGAUAAGAAAAAGAUUAACCCCUCUGAUGGCAC
This 639-nucleotide long non-coding RNA is filed under the name Solanum tuberosum (potato). RNAcentral's name for it is "long non-coding RNA (STUB_LNC005018)". The record is from RNAcentral. Lineage: Eukaryota; Viridiplantae; Streptophyta; Magnoliopsida; Solanales; Solanaceae.